RNAcentral lists this ribosomal RNA (497 nucleotides) under uncultured bacterium. RNAcentral's name for it is "partial 16S ribosomal RNA". It matches the Rfam family "Bacterial small subunit ribosomal RNA", at positions 28 to 507 of the family's 1533-position model. The record is from RNAcentral.
GAUGAACGCUGGCGGCGUGCCUAAUACAUGCAAGUCGAGCGAACAGACGAGGAGCUUGCUCCUCUGACGUUAGCGGCGGACGGGUGAGUAACACGUGGAUAACCUACCUAUAAGACUGGGAUAACUUCGGGAAACCGGAGCUAAUACCGGAUAAUAUAUUGAACCGCAUGGUUCAAUAGUGAAAGACGGUUUUGCUGUCACUUAUAGAUGGAUCCGCGCCGCAUUAGCUAGUUGGUAAGGUAACGGCUUACCAAGGCAACGAUGCGUAGCCGACCUGAGAGGGUGAUCGGCCACACUGGAACUGAGACACGGUCCAGACUCCUAAGGGAGGGAGCAGUAGGGAAUCUUCCGCAAUGGGCGAAAGCCUGACGGAGCAACGCCGCGUGAGUGAUGAAGGUCUUCGGAUCGUAAAACUCUGUUAUUAGGGAAGAACAAAUGUGUAAGUAACUAUGCACGUCUUGACGGUACCUAAUCAGAAAGCCACGGCUAACUACGUG